GCUGGCGUGGCUCAGGGGUUGAGCAUCGACCUAUGAACCAGAGGUCACGGUUCAAUUCCUGGUCAGGA
Molecule: non-coding RNA, 68 nt
Organism: Cnephaeus nilssonii (northern bat)
Lineage: Eukaryota; Metazoa; Chordata; Mammalia; Chiroptera; Vespertilionidae
Source: the annotation of a GenBank genome assembly